This 744-nucleotide ribosomal RNA is filed under the name uncultured cyanobacterium. RNAcentral describes it as "bacterial SSU rRNA". It matches the Rfam family "Bacterial small subunit ribosomal RNA", at positions 8 to 796 of the family's 1533-position model. Lineage: Bacteria; Bacillati; Cyanobacteriota. The record is from RNAcentral.
AGAGUUUGAUCCUGGCUCAGGAUGAACGCUGGCGGUCUGCUUAACACAUGCAAGUCGAACGGAGUAGAAAUACUUAGUGGCGGACGGGUGAGUAACGCGUGAGAAUCUGCCUUCAGGACGGAGACAACAGUUGGAAACGACUGCUAAGCCCCGAUGAACCGAAAGGGAAAAUAUUUAUAGCCUGAAGAUGAGCUCGCGUCCGAUUAGCUAGUUGGGGGGGUAAAGGCCCACCAAGGCGACGAUCGGUAGCUGGUCUGAGAGGACGAUCAGCCACACUGGGACUGAGACACGGCCCAGACUCCUACGGGAGGCAGCAGUGGGGAAUUUUCCGCAAUGGGCGAAAGCCUGACGGAGCAAUACCGCGUGAGGGAGGAAGGCUCUUGGGUUGUAAACCUCUUUUCUCAAGGAAGAAAAAAAUGACGGUACUUGAGGAAUAAGCAUCGGCUAACUCCGUGCCAGCAGCCGCGGUAAUACGGAGGAUGCAAGCGUUAUCCGGAAUGAUUGGGCGUAAAGCGUCCGCAGGUGGCUAUGUAAGUCUGCUGUUAAAGAGUCUGGCUCAACCAGAUAAAGGCAGUGGAAACUACAUGGCUAGAGUGCGUUCGGGGCAGAGGGAAUUCCUGGUGUAGCGGUGAAAUGCGUAGAGAUCAGGAAGAACACCGGUGGCGAAAGCGCUCUGCUAGGCCGCAACUGACACUGAGGGACGAAAGCUAGGGGAGCGAAUGGGAUUAGAUACCCCCGUAGUCC